AAAAGGUGGAGACAAACUACCCCAAAAAUAGUCCCCAGUUCAGAUUGUGGGCUGCAACCCGCCCACAUGAAGUCGGAAUUGCUAGUAAUGGCAGGUCAGCAUACUGCCGUGAAUACGUUCCCGGGCCUUGUACACACCGCCCGUCACACCAUGAGAGUCUGCAACACCCGAAGUCGAUAGUCUAACCGUAAGGAGGACGUCGCCGAAGGUGGGGCCGAUGAUUGGGGU
RNAcentral lists this ribosomal RNA (228 nucleotides) under uncultured Oscillospiraceae bacterium. Its description in RNAcentral is "partial 16S ribosomal RNA". It matches the Rfam family "Bacterial small subunit ribosomal RNA", at positions 1257 to 1481 of the family's 1533-position model. The record is from RNAcentral. Lineage: Bacteria; Bacillati; Bacillota; Clostridia; Eubacteriales; Oscillospiraceae.